AUGGACUUUGUUCUAAAAACAAACGGUUUUAUACUCCUCUCAGUCCGAUCCCCUUGGCUGUAAUGUUUCUUCUUCAUUAUUGUGACAUGUGCAGGGGAAAGAGGGGAGAGACUCAGAGAAAAGAUAAUGAUGCUGUGUAUGGGGAGGUCCAGUUGCUGGGGAGAUGUGCACCGAUGCAUACAGGACAGGAGCAUAUUGACGCCAGUCGCUGCAGAGCUCAAGGUCUUUUCAAGGCUGACCACAGCUGUAACAGAGAGAAACUGAACAGUGAUAGCAUAAUAACAAGCAAUGUACCUUUGUUCAUGUGGAAAAGUAAUUACUGUUAGGUUUCUGAUGUGUAAAGUAGCUUGUUUCCUUAUCUACUUAGGUGGAAGUCAAAUUAAAAAUGAACAACAUGA
This is a long non-coding RNA of Salvelinus sp. IW2-2015, 398 nucleotides long. RefSeq lists it as uncharacterized. NCBI's taxonomy places the organism in Eukaryota, Metazoa, Chordata, Actinopteri, Salmoniformes, Salmonidae. The record is from RefSeq and is a predicted model, not a curated record.